Non-coding RNA from Cinara cedri, 516 nucleotides. NCBI's taxonomy places the organism in Eukaryota, Metazoa, Arthropoda, Insecta, Hemiptera, Aphididae. The record is from the annotation of a GenBank genome assembly.
UUUUUUUUUUUAUUACAUGUGAACAACUUCGCGACCAGACGAUUUACUCCAGCCAUUGACAUCAAAGGUGGUUUUUGAUUUUUCGGUAACGAAUUCCACCAGGUAGAUACGUUGAACCGGCCAUUUUUUCUGAUUUUACUUGUACUUUUCUCAAUAAUAAGACGUUAACCUGUAAGUCGGAAAAAAGAAAAUGUUUACCGAACUAACUCUGUUAAAAUCGAUUUUGUUUUUCUCUGUAAUCAAAUUAGGAAACAAAUACAGUCAUACAAUAAAGAAAUUUCCAUCGAAUAUUUACAUUAGCGUUUAAAAAACGUGGGUUAAUUUACGAUAAAUUCAGAUUUUUUUUUUUGAGUUAUCCAUUGAUUUUCUUAAAUAUUCGGGUUUGUAUUUCAUCAGUUUAUGUGUGGACAAAAUAUUGUAUUUGCUUCGUUUAAACGGUCAACAAUUCGAUUCAUCAUCGUAUAAAUACGUAAUAUACUCGUAGUGUUACUACAUGUUAGAUUCGGAGCAUAGCGA